UGACUGCUAUACCGGAUGAUGACUUCGGUCCAAAGAUUUAUCGGCAAAGGAUGAACCCGCGUAGGAUUAGCUAGUUGUGGGGUAAAGGCCUACCAAGGCGACGGAUCCUUAGCCUGGUCUGAGAGGAUGAUCAGCCACACUGGGACUGAGACACGGCCCAGACUCCUACGGGAGGCAGCAGUGGGGAAUAUUGGACAAUGGGCGAAAGCCUGAUCCAGCAAUGCCGCGUGAGUGAUGAAGGCCUUAGGGUUGUAAAGCUCUUUUACCCGGGAUGAUAAUGACAGUACCGGGAGAAUAAGCUCCGGCUAACUCCGUG
Molecule: ribosomal RNA, 316 nt
Filed under: uncultured bacterium
Lineage: Bacteria
Description: bacterial SSU rRNA
Rfam family: Bacterial small subunit ribosomal RNA
Source: RNAcentral